GUGCCCCCCUCCGCGGUAAUACGGAGGGUGCAAGCGUUAAUCGGAAUUACUGGGCGUAAAGCGCACGCGGGCGGUCUGCCAAGUCGGAUGUGAAAUCCCCGGGCUCAACCUGGGAACUGCAUUCGAAACUGGCAGGCUGGAGUCUUGUAGAGGGGGGUAGAAUUCCAGGUGUAGCGGUGAAAUGCGUAGAGAUCUGGAGGAAUACCGGUGGCGAAGGCGGCCCCCUGGACAAAGACUGACGCUCAGGUGCGAAAGCGUGGGGAGCAAACAGGAUUAGAUACCCUGGUAGUCCACGCCGUAAACGAUGUCGACUUGGAGGUUGUGCCCUUGAGGCGUGGCUUCCGGAGCUAACGCGUUAAGUCGACCGCCUGGGGAGUACGGCCGCAAGGUUAAAACUCAAAUGAAUUGACGGGGGCCCGCACAAGCGGUGGAGCAUGUGGUUUAAUUCGAUGCAACGCGAAGAACCUUACCUACUCUUGACAUCCCAGAGAACUUAGCAGAGAUGCUUUGGUGCCUUCGGGAACUCUGAGACAGGUGCUGCAUGGCUGUCGUCAGCUCGUGUUGUGAAAAUGUUGGGUUAAGUCCCGCAAACGAGCGCAACCCUUAUCCUUUGUUGCCAGCGGUCCGGCCGGGAACUCAAAGGAGACUGCCAGUGAUAAACUGGAGGAAGGUGGGGAUGACGUCAAGUCAUCAUGGCCCCUACGAGUAGGGCUACACACGUGCUACAAUGGCGCAUACAAAGAGAAGCGAACUCGCGAGAGCAAGCGGACCUCAUAAAGUGCGUCGUAGUCCGGAUUGGAGUCUGCAACUCGACUCCAUGAAGUCGGAAUCGCUAGUAAUCGUAGAUCAGAAUGCUACGGUGAAUACGUUCCCGGGCCUUGUACACACCGCCCGUCACACCAUGGGAGUGGGUUGCAAAAGAAGUAGGUAGCUUAACCUUCGGGAGGGCGCUUACCACUUUGUGAUUCAUGACUGGGGUGAAGUCGUAACAAGGUAGCC
RNAcentral lists this ribosomal RNA (999 nucleotides) under uncultured Enterobacter sp. RNAcentral's name for it is "bacterial SSU rRNA". It matches the Rfam family "Bacterial small subunit ribosomal RNA", at positions 505 to 1501 of the family's 1533-position model. The record is from RNAcentral. Lineage: Bacteria; Pseudomonadati; Pseudomonadota; Gammaproteobacteria; Enterobacterales; Enterobacteriaceae.